RNAcentral lists this ribosomal RNA (211 nucleotides) under uncultured bacterium. Its description in RNAcentral is "partial 16S ribosomal RNA". It matches the Rfam family "Bacterial small subunit ribosomal RNA", at positions 524 to 734 of the family's 1533-position model. The record is from RNAcentral.
UACGUAGGGUGCGAGCGUUAAUCGGAAUUACUGGGCGUAAAGCGUGCGCAGGCGGCUUUGCAAGACAGAUGUGAAAUCCCCGGGCUCAACCUGGGAACUGCAUUUGUGACUGCAAGGCUAGAGUACGGCAGAGGGGGAUGGAAUUCCGCGUGUAGCAGUGAAGUGCGUAGAUAUGCGGAGGAACACCAAUGGCGAAGGCAAUCCCCUGGGC